Molecule: long non-coding RNA, 1765 nt
Organism: Sapajus apella (tufted capuchin)
Lineage: Eukaryota; Metazoa; Chordata; Mammalia; Primates; Cebidae
Exons: 2
Source: RefSeq, a predicted model, not a curated record
CCAUUUGUUUGUAUCAUCUAUGGUUUCCUUCAGCAGUGUUUUAUAGUUUUCCUUGUAGAUAUUUUUCACCACCUUGGUUAUAUGUUUUCUUGGUUAUUUUAUUUUGUGUGUGUGCAGCUAUUGUAAAUGAAACUGUGUUUUGGCUCUGAGCUUGAACAUUAUUGGUAUAUAGAAAUGCUACUGACUUUUCUGCAUUUAUUUUGGGUCCUGAAACUCUACUGAAGUCAUUUUUCAGUUCUAGGAGGGUUUUAGUGCAUUUUAAAUGGGGCAUUUUAUCAUAUAUUUCAAGGUUAAUAUUUAUAGGUGAGGUUUUUAUUCUACCAUGAACUUGUUAGCUGGUUGUUUUGUAGUUUCUAUUGUGUAGAUGCAUUAAAAGACCUAGGUACUUAGCUGUAGUUUUCUGGAAACAGAUAUAAGUCUUUUGUCUCCAUGUUUAGAACUCCCUUGAGUCUCUUGUAAGGCUAGUAUAGUUGUAAUGAAUUUCUUUAGUGAUUUCUUGUCUGAAAAAUAAUUUAAUUCUCCACUUAUGAAGCUUUGGUGGGGUAUGAAAUUAUUGGUUGGAGUUUCUUUUCCUUAAGAAUGCUGAAAAUAGGGCCCCAGUCUCUUCUGGCUUGUAGGGUUUCUGUGGAGAGGUCUGCUGUUAGCCUGCUUGGUUUGCUUUAUAUGUGAUCUUACCUUUUUCUUUAGCUGCCUUUAAGAAUUUUGUUUUUAGGAUUGACCUUAGACAGCCUAGUGACUACAUGUCUUGGUGAUGUUCAUUUUGUAUAGUAUCUCACAGAUGUUCUCUGAAUUUCUUGUAUUUGCAUGUCUACCUUUCUAGUAAGAUUAGGGAAAUUUUCUUGAAUUAUUCUUUCAAGUUUUCUGGGUUGUUUACUUUUUGGGCUUCUCUCUCAGGAAUACCAAUAAUUUACAGGUUUGGUCACCUUACAUAAUCCCAUCUUUCUCAAAAACUCAGUUCAUUUUUUAAAAUUAUUUUUCUUUGGAUUAGUUUAAAAGACUGAUUUUUAAGCUCAAAAAUUCUUUCUUCUGCUUAGUCUAGUCCACUGAUAAAGCUUUCAAUUAUAUUUUGAAAUUUUCUAAGUGAGUUUUUCAGUUCCAGUAGCUCUAAUUGAUUUUUUAAAAAUGUUUACCUCUUCUUUUAUUUCCUGGAUUGUUUUAGAAGGUCUUUGUGUUGAUUUUCAACCUUGCCUUGGAUCUUGUUGAGUUUCCCUGCAAUCCAUGCUUUGAACUCUCCAUCUGUUAUUGUUGUGUCUCCAUUUUGGCUAGGGAUCAUUGCUGGGGAGCUAGAGUGAAACUUUGAUUGUGACACAACAUUGAGAUUUUUUUAGAGGCAGAAUUCUUAUGCUGGUUUCUUCUCAUCUGAGAAAGUGUUGGGUGGGUUUUUUUGGCUUUGUUGUUAUGGUCCUAUGCACUUCUGUCAGCAGGUUUUAUAUUGGGCUGGGUGGUUCAACCUACAUGACAGAAGAUGACAUUUGCAGGUAACUGCCAGCUGCAGCAUAUGCAGGUGGGUAUAGAUGUGAUUUUUAUUUACUGUGGGGUGCUCUCUGCUGUUUCAGGUGAAGGGUUGGCCAUGACUUGUUGAAGCAAAAUUAAGAAAUGCAUGAAAUGAUUCUAGAAAUGAAAAUAUGUGAAGUAAGAAGAAAAGAGUGAGAUGCAUUCUAUAACUUUUGCCACCAUAUCUCUGACACUUUAUUCCAUUCUAGGUUCCAUGGAUGUUGACUGUUUCUGCUAAGUCACCCUAAGAAUAGAAUUUCUUUUAUGUCAA